GAUGAACGCUAGCGACAGGCCUAACACAUGCAAGUCGAGGGGCAGCACAUGAGUAGCAAUACGAUGGUGGCGACCGGCGCGACGGGUGAGUAACGCGUAUGCAACCUACCUAUCAGGAGGGGACUAACCCGGCGAAAGUCGGACUAAUACCGCAUAAAACAGGGGCACCGCAUGGUGAUAUUUGUUAAAAAUUUAUUGCUGAUAGAUGGGCAUGCGUUCCAUUAGGUAGUUGGAGAGGUAACGGCUCACCAAGCCCACGAUGGAUAGGGGAACUGAGAGGUUGGUCCCCCACACUGGUACUGAGACACGGACCAGACUCCUACGGGAGGCAGCAGUGAGGAAUAUUGGUCAAUGGGCGAGAGCCUGAACCAGCCAAGUCGCGUGAAGGAAGAAGGCCUUCGGGUUGUAAACCUCUGUCAUGGGGGAAGAAGUAAGUGACGGUACCCCAAGAGGAAGCCCCUGCUAACUACGUG
RNAcentral lists this ribosomal RNA (473 nucleotides) under uncultured bacterium. RNAcentral describes it as "bacterial SSU rRNA". It matches the Rfam family "Bacterial small subunit ribosomal RNA", at positions 28 to 507 of the family's 1533-position model. The record is from RNAcentral.